Neopsephotus bourkii (Bourke's parrot) is the source of this 332-nucleotide long non-coding RNA. RefSeq lists it as uncharacterized. The transcript has 3 exons. The record is from RefSeq and is a predicted model, not a curated record. Lineage: Eukaryota; Metazoa; Chordata; Aves; Psittaciformes; Psittacidae.
ACAGCUUUUCUCUUCCUUGAACCAGGAGGCGAGUAUGAAUAGAGAAGGACAGAGAGAUGGAGGCUGCUUUUCUCUUGCUGGAAAGAUGUGGAGUGCAUAAGGCCAUGCAUACAGGAAUACAAAUGGGAAUAAGAGGGCAGCAAACACCUAGGAAGAAGAUCUGAAUAAAGAGGAACCAUCUGCAUAAAGAAUCACCCAGGCUUUCCUUCCUUUCCAGAAAUCACAGAUGUCUUUUUCUAGUGAUCUCUGCUCAUUGUUCUCAGAGCAUCAUCCUGCUUCUACCAGUGAGGACUCACUGACACCAUGCAAAACUUGAUGGACUUAGGAAGAGG